This 462-nucleotide ribosomal RNA is filed under the name uncultured bacterium. RNAcentral describes it as "bacterial SSU rRNA". It matches the Rfam family "Bacterial small subunit ribosomal RNA", at positions 343 to 796 of the family's 1533-position model. The record is from RNAcentral.
GGGAGGCAGCAGUGAGGAAUUGUUCGCAAUGGGCGCAAGCCUGACGACGCAACGCCGCGUGGAGGAUGAAGAUCUUCGGGUCGUAAACUCCUGUCGACCGGGACGAAACGUUCGGGGGUGAAUAGCCUCCGGAUUUGACGGUACCGGUGGAGGAAGCCCCGGCUAACUCCGUGCCAGCAGCCGCGGUAAUACGGGGGGGGCAAGCGUUGUUCGGAAUUACUGGGCGUAAAGGGCUCGUAGGCGGCUGCCUAAGUCGGACGUGAAAUCCCACGGCUCAACCGUGGAACUGCGUCCGGUACUGGGCGGCUUGAAUCCAAGAGAGGGAUGCGGAAUUCCAGGUGUAGCGGUGAAAUGCGUAGAUAUCUGGAGGAACACCGGUGGCGAAGGCGGCAUCCUGGAUUGGUAUUGACGCUGAGGAGCGAAAGCCAGGGGAGCAAACGGGAUUAGAUACCCUAGUAGUCC